RNAcentral lists this ribosomal RNA (229 nucleotides) under uncultured bacterium. RNAcentral describes it as "partial 16S ribosomal RNA". It matches the Rfam family "Bacterial small subunit ribosomal RNA", at positions 104 to 334 of the family's 1533-position model. The record is from RNAcentral.
CGGGGUGAGUAAUGUCUGGGAAACUGCCCGAUGGAGGGGGAUAACUACUGGAAACGGUAGCUAAUACCGCAUAACGUCGCAAGACCAAAGAGGGGGAUCUUAGGGCCUCUUGCCAUCGGAUGUGCCCAGAUGGGAUUAGCUAGUAGGUGGGGUAAUGGCUCACCUAGGCGACGAUCCCUAGCUGGUCUGAGAGGAUGACCAGCCACACUGGAACUGAGACACGGUCCAG